Molecule: ribosomal RNA, 254 nt
Filed under: uncultured bacterium
Lineage: Bacteria
Description: partial 16S ribosomal RNA
Rfam family: Bacterial small subunit ribosomal RNA
Source: RNAcentral
UACGUAGGGGGCGAGCGUUGUCCGGAUUUAUUGGGCGUAAAGAGCUCGUAGGCGGUUUGGUAAGUCGGGUGUGAAAUCUCCACGCUCAACGUGGAGGGGCCACUCGAUACUGCCAUGACUCGAGUCCGGUAGAGGAGUGUGGAAUUCCCGGUGUAGCGGUGAAAUGCGCAGAUAUCGGGAGGAACACCCGUAGCGAAGGCGGCACUCUGGGCCGGAACUGACGCUGGGGAGCGAAGGCGUGGGGAGCAAACAGG